RNAcentral lists this ribosomal RNA (498 nucleotides) under uncultured bacterium. Its description in RNAcentral is "partial 16S ribosomal RNA". It matches the Rfam family "Bacterial small subunit ribosomal RNA", at positions 28 to 507 of the family's 1533-position model. The record is from RNAcentral.
GAUGAACGCUGGCGGCGUGCCUAAUACAUGCAAGUCGAACGAGAGCAACCGGUGCUUGCUCUGGUCAAUCUAGUGGCGCACGGGUGAGUAACACGUGGGUAACCUCCCCUUCAGACGGGGAUAACAUCCGGAAACCGACGCUAAAACCGCAUAGGCCUUCGAACCGCAUGGUUCCAAGCGGAAAAGUGGCGUAUUCUUCUGUUAAUGGCUGGUCCCGCGCUGCAUUAGCUAGUUGGUGAGGUAACGGCUCACCAAGGCCGUGAUGCAUAGCCGACCUGCGAGGGUGAUCGGCCACAUUGGGACUGAGACACGGCCCAAACUCCUACGGGAGGCAGCAGUAGGGAAUCUUCCGCAAUGGGCGCAAGUCUGACGGAGCAACGCCGCGUGAGUGAAGAAGGUGUUCGGAUCGUAAAACUCUGUUGUUAGAGAAGAACAAGUGCUAGAGUAACUGUUAGCGCCUUGACGGUAUCUAAGCAGAAAGCCACGGCUAACUACGUG